GUUAGGAAUUUUGCACAAUGGGGGAAACCCUGAUGCAGCAACGCCGCGUGGAUGAUGAAGGCCUUCGGGUCGUAAAAUCCUUUUCAACGGGAAGAAACGGACGGUACCGUUGGAAUAAGCCACGGCUAACUACGUGCCAGCAGCCGCGGUAAUACGUAGGUGGCGAGCGUUAUCCGGAUUUACUGGGCGUAAAGAGCAUGUAGGCGGUUCCGUAAGUUGGGCGUGAAAGCCCCCGGCUUAACUGGGGAGGGUCGUUCAAUACUGCGGGACUUGAGGGUGGACGAGGAGACUGGAAUUCCCGGUGUAGUGGUGAAAUGCGUAGAUAUCGGGAGGAACACCUGUGGCGUAGGCGAGUCUCUGGGCCACUCCUGACGCUGAGAUGCGAAAGCGUGGGGAGCGAACGGAAUUAGAAACCCUAGUAGUCC
Molecule: ribosomal RNA, 425 nt
Filed under: uncultured bacterium
Lineage: Bacteria
Description: bacterial SSU rRNA
Rfam family: Bacterial small subunit ribosomal RNA
Source: RNAcentral